This 459-nucleotide ribosomal RNA is filed under the name uncultured bacterium. Its description in RNAcentral is "partial 16S ribosomal RNA". It matches the Rfam family "Bacterial small subunit ribosomal RNA", at positions 355 to 799 of the family's 1533-position model. The record is from RNAcentral.
UGGGGAAUUUUGGACAAUGGGCGCAAGCCUGAUCCAGCAAUGCCGCGUGCAGGAUGAAGGCCUUCGGGUUGUAAAACUGCUUUUUGUACGGAACGAAAAGCCUCUCUCUAAUACAGGGGGGUGAUGACGGUACCGUAAGAAUAAGCACCGGCUAACUACGUGCCAGCAGCCGCGGUAAUACGUAGGGUGCAAGCGUUAAUCGGAAUUACUGGGCGUAAAAGCGUGCGCAGGCGGUUUUGUAAGACAGUGGUGAAAUCCCCGGGCUCAACCUGGGAACUGCCAUUGUGACUGCAAGGCUGGAGUGCGGCAGAGGGGGAUGGAAUUCCGCGUGUAGCAGUGAAAAUGCGUAGAUAUGCGGAGGAACACCGAUGGCGAAGGCAAAUCCCCUGGGCCUGCACUGACGCUCAUGCACGAAAAGCGUGGGGAGCAAAACAGGAUUAGAUACCCUGGUAGUCCACG